Molecule: ribosomal RNA, 650 nt
Filed under: Pseudomonas sp. AE2B 259
Lineage: Bacteria; Pseudomonadati; Pseudomonadota; Gammaproteobacteria; Pseudomonadales; Pseudomonadaceae
Description: bacterial SSU rRNA
Rfam family: Bacterial small subunit ribosomal RNA
Source: RNAcentral
CUCUUGAGAGCGGCGGACGGGUGAGUAAUGCCUAGGAAUCUGCCUGGUAGUGGGGGAUAACGUUCGGAAACGGACGCUAAUACCGCAUACGUCCUACGGGAGAAAGCAGGGGACCUUCGGGCCUUGCGCUAUCAGAUGAGCCUAGGUCGGAUUAGCUAGUUGGUGAGGUAAUGGCUCACCAAGGCGACGAUCCGUAACUGGUCUGAGAGGAUGAUCAGUCACACUGGAACUGAGACACGGUCCAGACUCCUACGGGAGGCAGCAGUGGGGAAUAUUGGACAAUGGGCGAAAGCCUGAUCCAGCCAUGCCGCGUGUGUGAAGAAGGUCUUCGGAUUGUAAAGCACUUUAAGUUGGGAGGAAGGGCUGUUACCUAAUACGUGAUGGUUUUGACGUUACCGACAGAAUAAGCACCGGCUAACUCUGUGCCAGCAGCCGCGGUAAUACAGAGGGUGCAAGCGUUAAUCGGAAUUACUGGGCGUAAAGCGCGCGUAGGUGGUUUGUUAAGUUGGAUGUGAAAUCCCCGGGCUCAACCUGGGAACUGCAUUCAAAACUGACUGACUAGAGUAUGGUAGAGGGUGGUGGAAUUUCCUGUGUAGCGGUGAAAUGCGUAGAUAUAGGAAGGAACACCAGUGGCGAAGGCGACCACCUGG